Molecule: long non-coding RNA, 353 nt
Organism: Cotesia glomerata
Lineage: Eukaryota; Metazoa; Arthropoda; Insecta; Hymenoptera; Braconidae
Exons: 2
Source: RefSeq, a predicted model, not a curated record
AGGUCCCCGCCUACACCAAGGACAAGCUCUGCAAUUUAAUUGACAAACGCAUUGGCCUUGAGAGGUUCCAAGACGCCAUUGGUGGGACCACUAGGCAUGAGAUUUACUCCAGGACUCUCAAACAUCCUCAGCCUUCGGCCAAACAUCCUAAGGACUUGCUCCUGGAUCACGAGUUCUGUCGGCUAUUGAAAAUUCUUGAAGGAGCUGUUUCCGAGUCCGUCAAAGGGAAUACUAGUUGUAAUGACAGUCCAAAGGAAAUUGGUAAUAGUGAUCCGAUGGUUGGGCAGUAUAAGGAUCUUAUUAGGGAACAGGAUGAGGAAAUUCAGAAACUUAAGAGGGAUAAUGAGAAUUUG